Molecule: long non-coding RNA, 253 nt
Filed under: Lathyrus oleraceus (garden pea)
Lineage: Eukaryota; Viridiplantae; Streptophyta; Magnoliopsida; Fabales; Fabaceae
Description: Pisum sativum (pea) long non-coding RNA (PSAT_LNC016348)
Source: RNAcentral
AAAAGGAGAAGAAGAAGAAAGAAAUGAAGAAAUAAAGUGCAUUAAAUGAAAUGGUAUGCAUCAAUCAACAAUUGUUGACCAAAGAUAGAGAAGAUCAAGGUCAAACAAUAGAAAACAGAAGUAAAAUGAAUAUUAGAAGUCAAGAAAUAAACAAAGUAUUUUUGGCAUUUUUUAAUAUUUAAAAUAAAACUUGAAUUAAAAUAUUAAAGAAAGGUCAAACUUCAAACUCACUUCAAGUCAACUUUGAAAAGUC